Molecule: non-coding RNA, 1588 nt
Organism: Poecilia reticulata (guppy)
Lineage: Eukaryota; Metazoa; Chordata; Actinopteri; Cyprinodontiformes; Poeciliidae
Source: RefSeq, a predicted model, not a curated record
GUAAGGGAGAGGUAGGGGGUGAGAGAAGAGAUUAUUAAUUCAACUGGCGACAACACAAGCAAUGCGAAGAGAAACCAACGCUAAACCAUCUAAAAAGGUCAAACAUCUGUUAUUGUUUUGCAACCAGUAAAUGCAUCAUUUUAAGUUCUUCCAGGUUGUACUGACCACAACACAAUCUGGCUUGGAUGACUAAAAGAAAGAAAUGCAACAAGAAGUCGGGAGGAAGUAUUUUGUCAAGACAUGUCUGCUUCAAUCAAGUUGUGUGACAUGUAGAGAGAGCAAAACUACAGGGGAGUGACAGGAGGGCUGAGCAGAGUACAGUUAUGUUGCCUCAAAACAGGUUUUCCCCCCCAACUUUCACUUUGUGAUGAAAUAUUUUGGACAUGGACAUUUUGGUAAGCUUUUGGAAAUCUCAGAGUCAAAGUACAGCCUGCCACAUUCUACAUUAUUUGAGGGAUACAGAUACAGUACAGUUUUGACAAUGUUAGCCUUGCUAUUAUUGCUAAUUGCUAAUAUGCUAAAGCUGGGUCAGAAGGUAAUCUUUAGUACUUUACUCCGUAAAACCCUGCUGAAUGAUGACUGCUUUCUGACACAGGGCAGGUGAAAGUUUUCCAAAAAAGUGCAGACUUUAAAUGAGCCACUAAAUGGCGAACUGUAUGUCUGUAAUGAGCCCAGAAAAGUCAAAGACGUAAAAUCAAAAUAUAACCAAAUUUCGAUUAUUGUCUGUUACAUUCAAUUCAGUUUAAAAAUCCGGAAGUUUAGGUAACUGACAUUGAAAAGUUUAAGAGAAAAUAGAAGAAAGGUCAACACAAGACUGAGAUUACUGGCAUGUAUUUGUGUGCUUAUUGUUCAGUAGGCAGGCGAGCCACCUCCACACAGUGAUGACGCUCCUUGGGGAAUCUGUAGGAGGAAAAAUCUUCAUAGAAGAGAAACGCAACGAGGAAAUAAAACAGGAUAAAGAGAGGCUUCAGGCAUUGAGAGAUCGUCGCAUUUCAUUCAUGUUGAAAAUCAUUCGUUAGGAGCUUCAUAAAAAACAAAAAAUAAAAAGUAUGAAUGUUACUGGAAACCAGCCAAAAAUCGGAUUUGAGAUCGCAGCCUCUGGCAUCGCCAUCGCUUAGCCGUUUCAUGGAUGCAGAUGCAGCUGUUAAACAUUAAUUCAAGUGACUCACUUGAGCAACACUUAUGAAUGACAGGUGUGUGUGUGUGUGUGGAGACUGCCUGUUCUCACACAGCCUGAGAAAAUGCAACUGCGCUACAUGUAAACGUGCGUGCCAGCGGUUGAGCCUCUGCAAGACUUUUACUGCGCUCCGUUUAUAGGAAGCAUGUGUUCACGCUUCACAUGCGAGCAAAGAAAACAAUGUAGUUCCCAGAAACGCUGACACUUCAGGCAUUGUGAAGAAACUAUUAAAGUCGUGUCCACUGACGUGAUUAGCGUGACUGAAUAAAAUCGCUGUCUUGUGAGCUUACGAUUUAAGAUUAUAUGAUCGAUUCGUCAUGACGGAGCACAAUAAAAUGUCGAUUUGUAUCUUAUUUCCAUUCAAUAAUUAUUUUUCCACAGAAACGCAUAAACACUUAUUUCACUCCUCUC